RNAcentral lists this small RNA (3409 nucleotides) under Pan troglodytes (chimpanzee). Its description in RNAcentral is "retained intron". The record is from RNAcentral. Lineage: Eukaryota; Metazoa; Chordata; Mammalia; Primates; Hominidae.
CCAGUAGAAAUGUAGGUGCGUUGGUUCCAGUCCUCAGCAAAUGGUACCUCCCACCAAAGCUGUCCAGCCUGGCUUCCCAGAAAGCCCUAUGGAAUUUGGGGUAUACGUUUAGUCGUGACAAGGAACAUUCUUGUGCCUUUCUUUGUCUGGAUUCAAAGAAGCGAAACUGCAUAUUCUGGUCACUCUCAGCUCUCAUUCGAUAUCUGUAUCCCAACAGCACCUGUGCAAUUCAGCCUCCAGGAGUCCUUCAGGCCAUGCCUCUUGCAACCCUUUACCCCUUACAUGUCUAGUAUUUUCUUUUCAGGAGACAUUUGCUCAGAAGAGAAUCAAAUAGUUUCCUCUUAUGCUUCUAAAGUCUGUUUUGAGAUCGAACAAGAUUAUAAAAAUCAUCAGUUUCUGGGGCCUGAAGGAAAUGUGGAUGUUGAGUUGAUUGAUAAGAGCACAAACACAUACAGUGUUUGGUUCCCCACUGCUGGCUGGUAUCUGUGGUCAGCCACAGGCCUCGGCUUCCUGGUAAGGGAUGCAGUCACGGUGACGAUUGCGUUUGGUUCCUGGAGUCAGCACCUGGCCCUGGACCUGCAGCACCAUGAACAGUGGCUGGUGGGUGGCCCCUUGUUUGAUGUCACUGCAGAGCCAGAGGAGGCUGUCGCCGAAAUCCACCUCCCCCACUUCAUCUCCCUCCAAGGUAAUGUGGGGUGAGCGGAGGCUGUGGGGGCCGCUGGGGUGCGUGCUGUCUCACUGCUGUUGUGGUUCUCCUGCAGCAGGUGAGGUGGACGUCUCCUGGUUCCUUGUUGCCCAUUUUAAGGAUGAAGGGAUGGUCCUGGAGCAUCCAGCCCGGGUGGAGCCUUUCUAUGCCGUCCUGGAAAAGCCCAGCUUCUCUCUGAUGGGCAUCCUGCUGCGGAUUGCCAGCGGGACCUGCCUCUCCAUCCCCAUCACUUCCAACACGUUGAUCUAUUAUCACCCCCACCCCGAAGAUAUUAAGUUCCACUUGUACCUUGUCCCCAGCGACGCCUUGCUAACGAAGUGGAUCUCCAGCUUGCAGCUGCAUCAGCCCCUCCUCCUUUCUCAGGUGCAGCCUUUGUGAAGGAGAACCACCGGCAACUCCAAGCCAGGAUGGGGGACCUGAAAGGGGUGCUCGAUGAUCUCCAAGACAAUGAGGUUCUUACUGAGAAUGAGAAGGAGCUGGUGGAGCAGGAAAAGACACGGCAGAGCAAGAAUGAGGCCUUGCUGAGCAUGGUGGAGAAGAAAGGGGACCGGGCCCUGGACGUGCUCUUCAGAAGCAUUAGUGAAAGGGACCCUUACCUCGUGUCCUAUCUUAGACAGCAGAAUUUGUAAAAUGAGUCAGUUAGGUAGUCUGGAAGAGAGAAUCCAGCGUUCUCAUUGGAAAUGGAUAAACAGAAAUGUGAUCAUUGAUUUCAGUGUUCAAGACAGAAGAAGACUGGGUAACAUCUAUCACACAGGCUUUCAGGACAGACUUGUAACCUGGCAUGUACCUAUUGACUGUAUCCUCAUGCAUUUUCCUCAAGAAUGUCUGAAGAAGGUAGUAAUAUUCCUUUUAAAUUUUUUCCAACCAUGGCUUGAUAUAUCACUAUUUUAUCCAUUGACAUGAUUCUUGAAGACCCAGGAUAAAGGACAUCCGGAUAGGUGUGUUUAUGAAGGAUGGGGCCUGGAAAGGCAACUUUUCCUGAUUAAUGUGAAAAAUAAUUCCUAUGGACACUCCGUUUGAAGUAUCACCUUCUCAUAACUAAAAGCAGAAAAGCUAACAAAAGCUUCUCAGCUGAGGACACUCAAGGCAUACAUGAUGACAGUCUUUUUUUUUUUUUUUGUAUGUUAGGACUUUAACACUUUAUCUAUGGCUACUGUUAUUAGAAUAAUGUAAAUGUAUUUGCUGAAAGAGAGCACAAAAAUGGGAGAAAAUGCAAACAUGAGCAGAAAAUAUUUUCCCACUGGUGUGUAGCCUGCUACAAGGAGUUGUUGGGUUAAAUGUUCAUGGUCAACUCCAAGGAAUACUGAGAUGAAAUGUGGUAAAUCAACUCCACAGAACCACCAAAAAGAAAAUGAGGGUAAUUCAGCUUAUUCUGAGACAGACAUUCUUGGCAAUGUACCGUACAAAAAAUAAGCCAACUCUGACAUUUGGAUUCUACCAUAGACUCUGUCAUUUUGUAGCCAUUUCAGCUGUCUUUUGAUUAAUGUUUUCGUGGCACACAUAUUUCCAUCCUUUUAUGUUUAAUCUGUUUAAAACAAGUUCCUAGUAGACACCAUCUGGUUGAGUCAGUUUUUUUAUGGUGUAUUUUGAACCCAUUCUGAUAGUCUCUUUUAACUGGAAAAUUUCAAUUACUUACGUUAAUGUAAUUAUUAAUAUGUUAGGAUUUAUCCUCAGUCAGCCAGUUUGUUACGUCUUUUCUAUUCUACUGUUAUCACAUUUGUACCACUUAAAGUGGAAUCUAGGCACUUUAUCACCAUUUAGAUCCUAUUACCUUUUCUCAUCUAGGAUAUAGUUAUCUUCUACAUAAUCUUUCUGUAUCUUAAAACCCAUCAAUAAAUUAUUAUAUAUUUUCUACUUUUAAUCACUCAGAAGAUUUAAAAAACUCAUGAGAAGAGUAAUCUGUUAUGUUUUUCCAGAUAUUUACCAUUUCUGUUGCUCUUCCUUCAUUAUUUUCCAAAUUUCGUUCUGCAAAUUUCCACUUCGUCUGAUAGACGUUUUUUAGUUCUUUUAGAGUGGUUCUGAUAGGUACAGAUUCUCUUAUUUUUUGCUUCCUCUGAGGACAUCUUUUUCUCACCUUCAUUCUCAGUGAUGUUUUUUGCUUGUAGUAUUUUUAGUUGACAUUGUUUUCUGUUCAGCAGUUUCCUUUUAGCUUCCGUAUUUCCUGAUGAGAAAUCUGCAGUCAUUCAAAUUGUUGUUUCCCUGUAUGUAGUGUGUCAUUUUUCUGUCAGAUUUCAAGGUAUUUUUCUUUAUCUUUAGUUUUUAGCCAUUUCAUUAUGUUGGGGAUGAGUUUCCUUGUUUUAUUCCCUUUGGAAUUUGCUCCAAUUCAUAAAUUUGCAGUUUUAUGUCUUUUACCAAACUUAGAGGUUUUCAGCCUAAUUUCUAAAAAUACUUUUUAUUAGCCUGAUUUUCAUCUUUAUAGGAAAUAGUUUAAGUGAUGACAAGUUCCAAUAGCUUAUAUGCCCAGAAGGCCUUCAAAAUAAGAAUUUUGAAAGAAUACAGAAAACAAACUUUUAUAUCCUUCUCAUGUCUUCUACUGUAAAAUUCAUAUGCUUUGCUACUCUAAACCUAGUUUGAAAUAAACAGUCUUGAGAAUAGAUGAAAAUUUUGAUGAAUAGUGGAAUUCUUUUAAAUGGAAACCUCUUACAUGUGAUUUUCCUUGCCAUCUAGAAAUAAACCAUAGUAUUUAUGUUGAAUCAAUCAAUA